Molecule: long non-coding RNA, 299 nt
Organism: Malania oleifera
Lineage: Eukaryota; Viridiplantae; Streptophyta; Magnoliopsida; Santalales; Ximeniaceae
Exons: 2
Source: RefSeq, a predicted model, not a curated record
AAUGUUGCAGAGAACAAGUCCUGAUGCUAUUGUAGUCAGCGCAUUGCAUUGGCGAUGUUGGAGGAUGAGUGCAGUAUUUAGUUUGUUUAGGUGGUUGUUGUUUCAAAAAUGCUUGUGAAAGUUGCUUGUCAAUGUCAGACAGCAUCCUCAACUGCUACAAUUUAUAGAUCUAGUUAAUAUUGAUGUUCUAGCGUUCUACUGUGUUAAUUAUUCAUUCGAGGAGUUUUAAUUAUGUGGACUUGGGAAUUUGACUGGAUGUGGGUAUAUUUUAUGAUAAUAAAAUUGGUGACAUUACAAAA